GUCUAUAGCCAUGCUACCCUGAACAAACCCGAUCCCAUCUGAUCUCGGAAGCUAAGCUUGGAUGGGAGACUACCUAGAAAGACCAGGUGCUGUAGACG
Molecule: ribosomal RNA, 98 nt
Filed under: Pteropus alecto (black flying fox)
Lineage: Eukaryota; Metazoa; Chordata; Mammalia; Chiroptera; Pteropodidae
Source: RNAcentral